Molecule: long non-coding RNA, 1359 nt
Filed under: Felis catus (domestic cat)
Lineage: Eukaryota; Metazoa; Chordata; Mammalia; Carnivora; Felidae
Description: lncRNA (ENSFCAG00000050049.1)
Source: RNAcentral
CUGAGCAUUUGCACCUUUUGGUGACAAGAGGAGUCUCAGAUUUGAAUGUUGGGAAGAUCCCCCCCCAGGAGGCACGAGGGAGGGCCUUCCCAGGAGAGUGGAGUCCCCAGAGAGGAGGCUGGUUGGGAGGAGGCCCAGGGAGGAGGCUGUCUUAGUUGUGAGCUGGGGCUGGCGAAGACAGUCAAUCUCACAGGUAACAAGGAAGUGAAGCUUGAACAAAGCCUCCAAGGAGGGGCCAGUUAUAGAGCCGAGGAGAAGAGGAAGAACACUCAGAGCUGGCUGGGAGCCCAGUGUCCUUUUCCCGGACCUGGCCAGGAAGCUGUGAGGCUGGGUGCAGGGACCCUGGAGAGGGACCUGAGUUGGAGCCAGGGCCACAAGAAUGGAGAGGAAAUUAACAACGCAAAGGGAUUCAGGCAGGUUCACUUGGACUUGAGAACCGAAAGGGAUUUGCAGGAGAGAGAGAAGCAAGGAUGAGAGUAUUGUUUUUCCAUUGAUGGUGGAAAGAAUCUCCACAACCUAUAUGGUUGACAACCACCGCAUUUUUUUAAAUUUUUUAAUUUUUCCGAUAUAUGAAAUUUAUUGUCAAAUUGGUUUCCAUACACCACCCAGUGCUCAUCCCCAAAGGUGCCCUCCUCAAUACCCAUCCCCCACCCUCCCCUCCCUCCCACCCCCCAUCAACCCUCAGUUUGUUCUCAGUUUUUAAGAGUCUCUUAUGCUUUGGCUCUCUCCCACUCUAACCUCUUUUUUUUUUUUCCUUCCCCUCCCCCAUGGGUUCCUGUUAAGUUUCUCAGGAUCCACAUAAGAGUGAAACCAUAUGGUAUCUGUCUUUCUCUGUAUGGCUUAUUUCACUUAGCAUCAUACUCUCCAGUUCCAUCCACAUUGCUACAAAGGGCCCUAUUUCAUUCUUUCUCAUUGCCACAUAGUACUCCAUUGUGUAUAUAAACCACAAUUUCUUUAUCCAUUCAUCAGUUGAUGGACAUUUAGGCUCUUUCCAUAAUUUGGCUAUUGUUGAGAGUGCUGCUAUAAACAUUGGGGUACAAGUGCCCCUAUGCAUCAGUACUCCUGUAUCCCUUGGGUAAAUUCCUAGCAGUGCUAUUGCUGGGCAUAGGGUAGGUCUAUUUUUAAUUUUUUGAGGAACCUCCACACUGUUUUCCAGAGUGGCUGCACCAAUUUGCAUUCCCACCAACAGUGCAAGAGGGUUCCCGUUUCUCCACAUCCUCGCCAGCAUCUAUAGUCUCCUGAUUUGUUCAUUUUGGCCACUCUGACUGGCGUGAGGUGAUAUCUGAGUGUGGUUUUGAUUUGUAUUUCCCUGAUAAGGAGCAACGUUGAGCAUCUUUUCACGUGCCUGUUGGCCAUCCG